GCAGAGAUGGUGCCAGCAUGAACUUGCCUGCUGUACUGGAGCUCUUCUGGCAACUGCAAGUCAGUUGGAGACCAGAACACAUUUCUCCCUUGUCCACGUUCCUGCAGUGGAUCCUUUCUGGGCUGCAGCAGCUGUUGCAGGGGAUUUUUUUCCCCCUGGAAAAUUCAAAUAUGGGAAUUUUGAUCAUCAGAAAGAGGGUAGAAUGCCAUUUUAAAGUCAAUUAUGCAAAGGUGUAACAACUUGUCCACAAUAUGAAGCUUCUGAGCUGUGGACCAUAGAAGUGACAGCAGAAAUUCAUCUCUGAUUCAUCACUGAAUUGUUUGAUACACCAAGUAUCCAGCUUCAAUCAAAAUAAAGAAGUUAGCUUCAUAAAAUGUAGGUAAGACAGUUAAUUUACUGAAUUCUUUUUGUCAUUUGAGAGUAAGAAGAGAAACUGAAAAAUUCAGUCAUGUUAAAGUUGAAAAAGAUCUGGUUCUGCCAUUUCAUUUGCUGUAAAGGUAGGUGGUCGUUUUGCUUGUUUAAG
This 523-nucleotide long non-coding RNA is filed under the name Corvus moneduloides (New Caledonian crow). Its description in RNAcentral is "lncRNA (ENSCMUG00000018080.1)". Lineage: Eukaryota; Metazoa; Chordata; Aves; Passeriformes; Corvidae. The record is from RNAcentral.